UACAGAGGUCCCAAGCGUUGUUCGGAUUCAUUGGGCGUAAAGGGUGCGUAGGUGGCGUCGUAAGUCGGGUGUGAAAUCUCGGGGCUUAACUCCGAAACUGCAUUCGAUACUGCGGUGCUUGAGGACUGGAGAGGAGACUGGAAUUUACGGUGUAGCAGUGAAAUGCGUAGAGAUCGUAAGGAAGACCAGUGGCGAAGGCGGGUUCUGGACAGUUUCCUGACGCUGAGGCACGAAGGUCAGGGGAGCAAACGGGG
This 254-nucleotide ribosomal RNA is filed under the name uncultured bacterium. RNAcentral's name for it is "partial 16S ribosomal RNA". It matches the Rfam family "Bacterial small subunit ribosomal RNA", at positions 524 to 777 of the family's 1533-position model. The record is from RNAcentral.